CGAUGGAGGGGGGUAACUACUGGAAACGGUAGCUAAUACCGCAUAACGUCGCAAGACCAAAGAGGGGGACCUUAGGGCCUCUUGCCAUCGGAUGUGCCCAGAUGGGAUUAGCUAGUAGGUGGGGUAAAGGCUCACCUAGGCGACGAUCCCUAGCUGGUCUGAGAGGAUGACCAGCCACACUGGAACUGAGACACGGUCCAG
Molecule: ribosomal RNA, 201 nt
Filed under: uncultured bacterium
Lineage: Bacteria
Description: partial 16S ribosomal RNA
Rfam family: Bacterial small subunit ribosomal RNA
Source: RNAcentral